RNAcentral lists this ribosomal RNA (496 nucleotides) under uncultured bacterium. RNAcentral's name for it is "partial 16S ribosomal RNA". It matches the Rfam family "Bacterial small subunit ribosomal RNA", at positions 28 to 506 of the family's 1533-position model. The record is from RNAcentral.
GACGAACGCUGGCGGCGUGCCUAAUACAUGCAAGUAGAACGCUGAAGAGAGGAGCUUGCUCUUCUUGGAUGAGUUGCGAACGGGUGAGUAACGCGUAGGUAACCUGCCUGGUAGCGGGGGAUAACUAUUGGAAACGAUAGCUAAUACCGCAUAAAAUGGAUUAUCGCAUGAUAAUCCAUUGAAAGGUGCAAAUGCAUCACUACCAGAUGGACCUGCGUUGUAUUAGCUAGUUGGUGGGGUAACGGCUCACCAAGGCGACGAUACAUAGCCGACCUGAGAGGGUGAUCGGCCACACUGGGACUGAGACACGGCCCAGACUCCUACGGGAGGCAGCAGUAGGGAAUCUUCGGCAAUGGACGGAAGUCUGACCGAGCAACGCCGCGUGAGUGAAGAAGGUUUUCGGAUCGUAAAGCUCUGUUGUAAGAGAAGAACGAGUGUGAGAGUGGAAAGUUCACACUGUGACGGUAUCUUACCAGAAAGGGACGGCGAACUACGU